This 335-nucleotide ribosomal RNA is filed under the name Patelloida corticata. Its description in RNAcentral is "partial 12S ribosomal RNA". Lineage: Eukaryota; Metazoa; Mollusca; Gastropoda; Lottiidae. The record is from RNAcentral.
GUACUAAUCCCCCCAGAGGAACCUGGCGCUUAAUUCGAUGAUCCACGAAACUCUUACCCUCCCUAGUGUGAACGAGGGCUACCAUAUAAGGUGGGCCCCGUGACAUUCAGUUUGCAUACCGCCGUUGUGCAGCCUAUACUGUGAAGGGAUAUAAAUAGGCGACGCAGUAGCCUGAGGGUUACUACUAAUUCAGGUAAACGUGUAGCCUAUGGGAGGGGGUCGCUGGGUUACAGUUUUGGUUUUCAUUGGAGCCACUAACUGAGGAAGAUGGUGAAAGAGGAUUUGGAAGUAACAGUUUUAUAGAUAGAAGCUGUGAAUAAGGCUCUAGUAUGUGU